RNAcentral lists this ribosomal RNA (500 nucleotides) under uncultured bacterium. Its description in RNAcentral is "bacterial SSU rRNA". It matches the Rfam family "Bacterial small subunit ribosomal RNA", at positions 384 to 896 of the family's 1533-position model. The record is from RNAcentral.
UGAGGCAGCAACGCCGCGUGAACGAAGAAGGCCUUCGGGUUGUAAAGUUCUUUCUGUGGGACGAAGCCAGUGACGGUACCGCAGGAAUAAGUUCCGGCUAACUACGUGCCAGCAGCCGCGGUAAAACGUAGGGGACAAGCGUUAUCCGGAUUUACUGGGCGUAAAGCGCGCGCAGGCGGCUUGGUAAGUUGGACGUGAAAGCUCCCGGCUUAACUGGGGAGAGGUCGUUCAAAACUGCGAGGCUAGAGGGUGAGAGAGGAGAGCGGAAUUCCCGGUGUAGUGGUGGAAUGCGUAGAUAUCGGGAGGAACACCAGUGGCGAAGGCGGCUCUCUGGCUCAUACCUGACGCUGAGGGGCGAAAGCGUGGGGAGCGAACGGGAUUAGAUACCCCGGUAGUCCACGCUGUAAACGAUGGAUACUAGGUGUAGGUGGUGAUUGAAACCAUCUGUGCCGAAGCAAACGCGAUAAGUAUCCCGCCUGGGGACUACGGCCGCAAGGUUA